GAGGAUGAUCUUCGCGACAUGAUCCGUGAGUUAGGGUGCUGCGUUGGGAGCUUCCCUCAAAUCUACCUCGGCCUGCCGCUCUCCAACCGCAAGCUCACCAUGGACGACUUCCUUCCACUCAUUGCCAAAGCUGAGCGCUACCUCUCCGGCUGGCGUGCUCAGCUUCUGUCCUUUGGGGGGCGCCUGGUGCUGCUCAAUGCCGUACUGGACGCUCUCCCCACGUAUGCCAUGUCGGCGAUGGAGGUCCCGCCCUCUGUCCUACGAGCGAUCGACGCCCUGCGCCGCUCCUUCCUCUGGACCGCGACGGACAAAGCCUCUGGGGCCCAGUGUCUUGUUGCCUGGGAACGCGUCCUCCGUCCCAAGGAGGAGGGGGGACUGGGGGUUCGCGCCCUCCCGGUUCAGAACCGGUGCCUUCUGCUGAAGCUCCUUCACUGCCUUCACUCGCGCCAGGAUGCGCCGUGGGCUCGCUGGGUCUGGGGCAAGUUGGGGCGAUCGCUG
RNAcentral lists this ribosomal RNA (498 nucleotides) under Triticum aestivum (bread wheat). RNAcentral's name for it is "partial small subunit ribosomal RNA". Lineage: Eukaryota; Viridiplantae; Streptophyta; Magnoliopsida; Poales; Poaceae. The record is from RNAcentral.